Molecule: long non-coding RNA, 531 nt
Organism: Sebastes umbrosus (honeycomb rockfish)
Lineage: Eukaryota; Metazoa; Chordata; Actinopteri; Perciformes; Sebastidae
Exons: 3
Source: RefSeq, a predicted model, not a curated record
UGUAGAUAAGAUCUGAAAAUUUGGUGCGCGUGUGCGUAAAGUUGGUUUGGAGCGCCCGCAGCACGGCGCGCUCUGCUCCUCUGUUUACCUGCUGUAGUACCGCAGGUAACCGGAUCGGCUUGUGAGUGCGCGAAUGUUGGUUUGAGGGAAAGGACAACGCAUUUGGACUUUACAGGGUAAGUUAAGAAAGAAAACGUAAACAGAAAACUGUUCUCCGCUUUUCAUUUUGAAAGAGCAACAAUGAGUCAUGAUCAUUGGUCGUUGACCAGAACUGUUACUUCAUCAUUCUCUCAGCCAAUCUGGCCGACCAGUCCUGAGACUAACCAGGCUCUCUCUCUCCAGAGGAGGUCUGAACCUGGUCUCCGCGGGCUCCAGGCCUGAGAAGGGCUGAUAGUCCUCAUGUAGCUCAGAGGAGAGCCGGUCCGAGCCUCUACUCCAGACUGACGCAUUGUCAGAAAGGAGCUGUCCUCUAGGCUGACCUUCAGUGACCUUCAGUCAGCCUAGAGGAGAGGUUCCGGCCGGAUCUGCUCC